This is a long non-coding RNA of Ornithodoros turicata, 515 nucleotides long. RefSeq lists it as uncharacterized. The transcript has 3 exons. The record is from RefSeq and is a predicted model, not a curated record. NCBI's taxonomy places the organism in Eukaryota, Metazoa, Arthropoda, Arachnida, Ixodida, Argasidae.
AAUGGCCAGGACGUUAGACGAAUCUGUGUCGCUGUGUUUGUUGAUCCUGUGCCGGGAAAGGCACUUCCCAACCCUGGGAUGUACGUGCUCCAGAGCAUAUACUUUACCGUAAGUGUAAGCAUCACUCCAUCGAGUGGCAUCAACAAUUUCUGUAUAAAUGAUCGCCACAUAUGAAGGAAUGAACCGGUGUCUUGCGCCUCCAUCAUCGGGGCUGACACCAAAAUGGCACGUGCAAUACGUGUGUCCACAAUAACGUUACAGCAACGGUCUGGUACUGACAUCUCCAUAAGACAUCUCCAACUGGAAUUCUCUUUUCAGGCUUCACUUCCAAACGCACCAUGCACUUGAAAGACACCUUCACAUUGCGGUCCAGAACAUGCCGGAUGCCGUCUGCAAUUGUAAACAAAGAAAUUCAGAUAAUGAAAAACCGAAAAUACACACGUUGAAUAAUGAAUAUACAUGCGCAUGAAAGUGAUAAAAAUGCAUAAAUGUACUUCAAGGUGAAGAAAACUACA